UACGGGGGGAGCAAGCGUUGUUCGGAUUUACUGGGCGUAAAGGGCGCGUAGGCGGCCACCGCAAGUCGACUGUGAAAUCUCCGGGCUUAACCCGGAAAGGUCAGCCGAUACUGCGGGGCUAGAGUGCAGAAGGGGCAACUGGAAUUCUCGGUGUAGCGGUGAAAUGCGCAGAUAUCAGGAGGAACACCGGUGGCGAAGGCGGGUCUCUGGGCAGUAACUGACGCUGAGGAGCGAAAGCGUGGGGAGCGAACAGG
RNAcentral lists this ribosomal RNA (254 nucleotides) under uncultured bacterium. RNAcentral describes it as "partial 16S ribosomal RNA". It matches the Rfam family "Bacterial small subunit ribosomal RNA", at positions 524 to 776 of the family's 1533-position model. The record is from RNAcentral.